CAGCCGCCGCGGGAAUACAGAGGAUGCAAGCGUUAUCCGGAAUAACUGGGCGUAAAGGGUGCGCAGGUGGUUUAACAAGUUAGUGGUGAAAGGCAUAGGCUCAACCAAUGUAAGCCAUUAAAACUGUUUAACUUGAGUGCAGGAGAGGAAAGUGGAAUUCCUAGUGUAGCGGUGAAAUGCGUAGAGAUUAGGAGGAACACCAGUGGCGAAGGCGGCUUUUUGGCCUGUAACUGACACUGAGGCGCGAAAGCGUGGGGAGCAAACAGGAUUAGAUACCCGUGUAGUCCCUGUCUCUUAUACC
RNAcentral lists this ribosomal RNA (301 nucleotides) under uncultured bacterium. Its description in RNAcentral is "partial 16S ribosomal RNA". It matches the Rfam family "Bacterial small subunit ribosomal RNA", at positions 509 to 808 of the family's 1533-position model. The record is from RNAcentral.